CUAAUAUCAGACAUUUCCUCUAGAAACUAGGAGCUUAACACUUCAAGGAGAUCAUGAAGAAGGACAGAAUAUUGUUGUUUAUUAGAGCAUAAUAUGAAAUGCUAUUCAGUUUCAGCAUUAGAAUGACAAAUGCAAUCUUAAACAUGGCUGGUGACAGGUUAGAUGCCUUCACACAGGCACUUAAUUAGCAGUGUGGAAGUGCUUAUUUGGAGCUUCAUCCAGCCAGCCAUGAGCUGGCUCCAAGAUGCAACAAACUGAAAGGGUUGAUGUGCCUUGAUUAUUUCUGUUGCCUUCAUUUGAGCUUUGUUCAUGUUGCUGAAUUGGGUAGGGACAGACAGCCACAAGCUGUCAAGCCAGUUUGUAAUUAAGCCAUGGCUUAGCAUGGCUUAAUAAGUUACUGCUCCACAGACAAGAUGUAAUAAUUGCCUGUGUGCAUGCUCUUAGCUUGUCCAGCAGCUGAAGUAACGUGUUAGUUUAAGUUACUAUAUUCUGCAAGAGUGUCCUACCUGAAAAGCAGUAGUUUGGGUUGGUAACUCAAUCACUUGUGAGCGUAUGUUUGUGUUUUCCCUCUGCGCCACAGAGAGCUCACAACUCAGUGCAGAACUGCAGGUGACACAAGAGGUACGUUGGAAGUAUGGUUUGAUGGGUGAUAUCCCUGACCAUCAGGGUGGCUCAAAUCAGAUGCUUUGUUUCAACAUGGCCACUUCAAUUGAGCUCAGACAAGAGAGCUUCUCCUUUUCUGUGGCUCACUCCUUUUCAUCACCUUGUGUUGGCACAAACACGUGUGGCUGUGCAGUGUACAGGACUGAGGGAUGAUCUGGCUUAAAACUAACGCAUAUUGAUACACC
Gallus gallus (chicken) is the source of this 848-nucleotide long non-coding RNA. NCBI's taxonomy places the organism in Eukaryota, Metazoa, Chordata, Aves, Galliformes, Phasianidae. The record is from Ensembl.